RNAcentral lists this ribosomal RNA (253 nucleotides) under uncultured bacterium. RNAcentral's name for it is "partial 16S ribosomal RNA". It matches the Rfam family "Bacterial small subunit ribosomal RNA", at positions 524 to 776 of the family's 1533-position model. The record is from RNAcentral.
UACGUAGGGUGCAAGCGUUGUCCGGAAUUAUUGGGCGUAAAGAGCUUGUAGGCGGUCUGUCACGUCGGCUGUGAAAACCCGGGGCUCAACUCCGGGCCUGCAGUCGAUACGGGCAGACUAGAGUUCGGCAGGGGAGACUGGAAUUCCUGGUGUAGCGGUGAAAUGCGCAGAUAUCAGGAGGAACACCAAUGGCGAAGGCAGCUCGCUGGAACGGUACUGACGCUGAGGCGCGAAAGCGUGGGGAGCGAACAGG